Molecule: ribosomal RNA, 508 nt
Filed under: uncultured bacterium
Lineage: Bacteria
Description: partial 16S ribosomal RNA
Rfam family: Bacterial small subunit ribosomal RNA
Source: RNAcentral
GACGAACGCUGGCGGCGUGCCUAAUACAUGCAAGUCGAGCGCAGGAAGUCAUCCGAACCCUUCGGGGGGACGUUGACGGACUGAGCGGCGGACGGGUGAGUAACACGUAAAGAACCUGCCCUCAGGUCUGGGAUAACCACGAGAAAUCGGGGCUAAUACCGGAUGGGUCAUCGGACCGCAUGGUCCGAGGAUGAAAGGCGCUCCGGCGUCGCCUGGGGAUGGCUUUGCGGUGCAUUAGCUAGUUGGUGGGGUAAUGGCCCACCAAGGCGACGAUGCAUAGCCGACCUGAGAGGGUGAUCGGCCACACUGGGACUGAGACACGGCCCAGACUCCUACGGGAGGCAGCAGUAGGGAAUCUUCCACAAAGGACGAAAGUCUGAUGGAGCAACGCCGCGUGAACGAUGAAGGCCCUCGGGUCGUAAAGUUCUGUUGUAAGGGAAGAACAAGUGCCGCAGGCAAUGGCGGCACCUUGACGGUACCUUGCGAGAAAGCCACGGCUAACUACGUG